UGGUUCUGGCAUCGAUGAAGAACGCAGCGAAAUGCGAUAAGUAAUGUGAAUUGCAGAAUUCAGUGAAUCAUCGAAUCUUUGAACGCACAUUGCGCCCUGUGGUAUUCCGUAGGGCAUGCCUGUUCGAGCGUCAUUAUAACCACUCAAGCCUCGCUUGGUAUUGGGAUUCGCAGCUCUGCGGCCCCUAAAAUUAGUGGCGGUGCCUGUAGGCUCUGAGCGUAGUAAUUCUUCUCGCUAUAGAGUCCUGUGGGUUUCCUGCCAAAACCCCCAUACUUUUAUCGGUUGACCUCGGAUCAGGUAGGGAUACCCGCUGA
RNAcentral lists this unclassified non-coding RNA (314 nucleotides) under uncultured fungus. RNAcentral's name for it is "partial contains 5.8S ribosomal RNA and internal transcribed spacer 2". The stretch from base 1 to 133 matches the Rfam family "5.8S ribosomal RNA", at positions 22 to 154 of the family's 154-position model. The record is from RNAcentral. Lineage: Eukaryota; Fungi.